Molecule: unclassified non-coding RNA, 562 nt
Filed under: Hevea brasiliensis (rubber tree)
Lineage: Eukaryota; Viridiplantae; Streptophyta; Magnoliopsida; Malpighiales; Euphorbiaceae
Source: RNAcentral
AUGAAAAAGCAUUCCAUUCGCCAACUUUAUAUCUUUGUUAAAAAUGUAUAAAUACAUAAAGUCAGAAGAAGAAGAGAUAAUCUCUUAUACUAUAUAUGUACCAGAGCAAAGAUCGAUUUUCGUGUGGGAAUAGUGCUUACUUUACUGAAAGCUUAGUAACACCCUUUGCCAUGUAUUGCAGUUUCUUUUUCUUUUGUUAGUUACCGCCCCAUGAAUUCUUCAAAGCAGGCUAUCUCCGACAAAGACGAUGAUGCCAUGCCAGAUCACACAAGGUGCGAAGCCUUGACUAAUUCUGUAACAUUGGGGCGUAGCUGCUAUUUCACCGGGAGUGUAGGGCUCUUGUAGCUCCUUUGAUUGAUUAAGAUGAAAACUUCACGAUAGUAUAGGCUAAUGAUUCCAUUUUUGAUAAACAUGUGAUUCGCAUCUUGCUUUCAAAACAAAACAUUUGCUAUUGUAGCCGUAAAUUUGGGUAGCCGAUGGCCUGUGAUAAGACUGGAAUAUGCAGCAAAUGUCAUUUUUAAUGUAUUGAAAGAAAAAAAAGAAAGAAAAAAGAAAGAAGAGG